UGUCUGUUUUAAUACCCAUAUUGUAUGCUCGGACGGGAGGCCAGUACAUAUAUUUACUAAUUAUUUCCCGGUGUGGAGGCAUACCGAUGCACGGCACAACAUGGAGUCGACAUGGAGUUAAACAGCCAUAUAAAGCAAUAUUAGCUGAUGUAUCCUUCAGCUUAGUAUCUUAUCUACAGACUUUGUCAGUAUUUCCUGUGAGAUUACUGUUCGAUACCUGGAGAAAUUAAACAAUUCACUAUUAUUGAUGUG
Pelobates cultripes (western spadefoot toad) is the source of this 252-nucleotide non-coding RNA. NCBI's taxonomy places the organism in Eukaryota, Metazoa, Chordata, Amphibia, Anura, Pelobatidae. The record is from the annotation of a GenBank genome assembly.